UGGAGUUAAUUCAUAUCCUGUCUGUGUGCA
Molecule: non-coding RNA, 30 nt
Filed under: Mus musculus (house mouse)
Lineage: Eukaryota; Metazoa; Chordata; Mammalia; Rodentia; Muridae
Source: RNAcentral